Molecule: ribosomal RNA, 253 nt
Filed under: uncultured bacterium
Lineage: Bacteria
Description: partial 16S ribosomal RNA
Rfam family: Bacterial small subunit ribosomal RNA
Source: RNAcentral
UACGGGGGGGGCAAGCGUUGUUCGGAAUUACUGGGUGUAAAGGGUUCGUAGGCGGUGUAGCAAGUCGGGAGUGAAAUCUUUGGGCUUAACCCAGAGGCUGCUUCCGAAACUGCUGUGCUUGAGUGUGGGAGAGGCGCGUGGAAUUGCAGGUGUAGCGGUGAAAUGCGUAGAUAUCUGCAGGAACACCCGUGGCGAAAGCGGCGCGCUGGACCACUACUGACGCUGAGGAACGAAAGCUAGGGGAGCAAACAGG